Long non-coding RNA from Diachasmimorpha longicaudata, 1090 nucleotides. RefSeq lists it as uncharacterized. The record is from RefSeq and is a predicted model, not a curated record. The transcript is spliced from 3 exons. NCBI's taxonomy places the organism in Eukaryota, Metazoa, Arthropoda, Insecta, Hymenoptera, Braconidae.
CUUGUGGCUGUGGUGGUGUUAGUGAGAAAAAAAUAAACUGCUUUGGAUCGCAACAGGAAAUUAGUUCUGGGAUAAAUUCAUCGUAAUUACGAUUCAAACACGAGGAUAAAUGUUUAACUGACGAGAGUAAUUGACGACUGGUCAUUUUUGAAAAAUAUUAAUGAACCACUCGAGAUAAUAUAACAUCCCUUGGAAUAUAGUACAUGAAUUACAGAUUCCAAAGAAGAAAUGGGCUAUUUUUAAGACUGAAAGAUAUACUAAACUAUUCUCCCAAGCAUCUCGUUCACAUAAUGGAUAGUCGAACCCAUCUUAUGCGAAUAUCAACUGAAGAAAUGUGUUUUUUCCAAGCUGAUCAGGGAGGAAGGAUUUAAUUUAUGACAGUUAUGACUCCUCGUGGAUGAAUCAUCGGAAUUAAAUUUCCAGAAUAAUUAUCUUACCCGGGUAAUGGUUUAUCGAGGGGAUAUUCGCACGUUACUCCCGUCUCGCCAUUCUGAGGACUCCUUAGCUCUAACAGCCGAACGGAUGAAUUUCAAUUAAGGCCUGAGAUGGUCUGGUCAGAUACUCACAAAGUUGUACGAAUACGUGAAGAAAUUCGGUAAGGAAUAGAAUUUUUCAUACGAAUCAAGAAGGGCCGUGUACACCAAAUUAUUCAAUUAGUUUUCACUUGCUGAAGGACUCGAAUGAAUUUUAAUCUAUGACGGUGUGAUAAGCCCCUUCCCCACUCCGUAAUAUUUACCAACUAUCUAUUCAAUAUAAUUUCGAAGAGAUCAGAUGGAUUAAAACAGAUAUUGGGAUCAGCGCAUGUAAUUGAUUAUUUUGUACUGGCAUUAUUAUGAAAAUCGUAGACGAUCAAAUUCGAAAGAUCAGAAAUCACGAGCUCUUUAUCAAGAAUCAAAUUUCUUUCAUCGUCGGUGGUAGUGAUGCAAUAUUUAUUGGUCGAGCACUUUUGAUUGAUCUCUCACUCUUGGAUUCAAUGUAAAAUUCACGCACUCGAGGCGACGAUUGCGCGCGUACUCUGAACGACACUAAUUGCCAUCGUUGAAACUCGAGAUUCUAAGUUCAUGUAUUCAUCAUACUUCCUGCAUAUACC